RNAcentral lists this long non-coding RNA (459 nucleotides) under Homo sapiens (human). Its description in RNAcentral is "novel transcript, antisense to CD177". The record is from RNAcentral. Lineage: Eukaryota; Metazoa; Chordata; Mammalia; Primates; Hominidae.
GAAAGCCAUAUCAUUUGGCUUGUUUACACCUUUGGCUAGUGUGAAUAAUGCUGCUAUGAACAAAGACAUGCAGAUACCUGCUGGGGCCCCUGCUCUCAGUUCUUUUCAGAAUACACCAGAAGUAGAAUUGCUGCAUCGUGUGAUCCCUGGGUGUCCUGCUGCCCCCUCACAUGGAGAAAUCCCAGCACUGGGAGAAAGGACAGGGUCUGUAUUAUCAGAUACAUGCAGCCACUCCUCCAGCGUCCCCUCUCCCAUAGGGCAAGUCCGGAUGCUCCAGGCUCUCCCCAGUGUUGCUGUUAGAUUUCUCUGCAGAGCUGGGAUCUCCAUUCCCCAUACUUUGCUGCUUUUUGUUUGUUUGUUUCCUGUUUCUCAAGGCAUAUAAAGCUGCAGGAAUACAGAUGGGAUUGGAUCUGCGGCACCUAAAACAAAUGCUGGAUAAACAUUUCCAGAAUGUAUGAA